UAGGGAAUAUUGGACAAUGGGGGCAACCCUGAUCCAGCCAUGCCGCGUGAGUGAAGAAGGCCCUCGGGUUGUAAAGCUCUUUUGUCCGGAAAGAAAAGCAUUCGGUGAAUACCCGGAUGUUCUGACGGUACCGGAAGAAUAAGCACCGGCUAACUUCGUGCCAGCAGCCGCGGUAAUACGAAGGGUGCAAGCGUUACUCGGAAUUACUGGGCGUAAAGCGUGCGUAGGUGGUUGUUUAAGUCUGAUGUGAAAGCCCUGGGCUCAACCUGGGAAUGGCAUUGGAAACUGGGCAGCUAGAGUGCGGUAGAGGGUAGCGGAAUUCCCGGUGUAGCAGUGAAAUGCGUAGAGAUCGGGAGGAACAUCUGUGGCGAAGGCGACUGCCUGGACCAGCACUGACACUGAGGCACGAAAGCGUGGGGAGCAAACA
This 427-nucleotide ribosomal RNA is filed under the name uncultured bacterium. Its description in RNAcentral is "bacterial SSU rRNA". It matches the Rfam family "Bacterial small subunit ribosomal RNA", at positions 355 to 774 of the family's 1533-position model. The record is from RNAcentral.